This is a long non-coding RNA of Magnolia sinica, 480 nucleotides long. RefSeq lists it as uncharacterized. Lineage: Eukaryota; Viridiplantae; Streptophyta; Magnoliopsida; Magnoliales; Magnoliaceae. The record is from RefSeq and is a predicted model, not a curated record. The transcript has 2 exons.
GGCGGGCCUAAAUUUGCAUGGGUCCACAGUCGGUGAUCAGGACCGUUCAUCAACGGCCUGCUGCGACGGUCUUGUCGGAGGAUUUUUGUCUUAGCUAUUUUAGGUUCUUGGGACAUAAAAAACCGACGGCAUCCUGAGGUGGCCCACAGAAUGAUCAGGCCAGGAUAGCUUUUACAAAUCAUCACCUUCUGCCUAGUAGCAGUUUACCUGCUGGUAGUGUCUGCACCUAAAAAAAGGGGUGGCUCUAUGCCCAGUGGGCUGAGGAUUAUUGAACUUAGUUUCCAAUUACUGUGCGGCCCAUCUCAAAUAGCUGGGGCAAAGGUUCUGAUGAUGGUGAAAUUUGUAGUGGGCCACCUUUUGCAUUGCAAGUUGUACCAUACAAUACAAUUGCUUGGUUGAUACAUAUUCUGAGGGUAAAGGUGAGUGUACGGCUACCAAACCUAUUGACUGAUAUUGGAGUGAUUUGGUUCUUUGCUUGAU